GGGUAAUUUUCCGCAAUGGGCGAAAGCCUGACGGAGCAAUACCGCGUGAGGGACGAAGGCUUUUGGGUCGUAAACCUCUUUUCCCUGAGAAGAAGAUCUGACGGUAUCAGGGGAAUAAGCAUCGGCUAACUUCGUGCCAGCAGCCGCGGUAAUACGAGGGAUGCAAGCGUUAUCCGGAAUUAUUGGGCGUAAAGCGUCCGCAGGUGGCUCUGUAAGUCUGCCGUUAAAGAAUGGGGCUCAACCCCAUACAGGCGAUGGAAACUACAAGGCUAGAGUUUGGUAGGGGUCACGGGAAUUCCUAGUGUAGCGGUGAAAUGCGUAGAUAUUAGGAAGAACACCAGCGGCGAAAGCGCGUGACUGGGCCAGUACUGACACUCAUGGACGAAAGCUAGGGGAGCGAAAGGGAUUAGAUACCCCUGUAGUCCUAGCCGUAAACGAUGAUAACUAGGUGUUGCCCGUAUCGACCCGGGCAGUGCCGUAGCCAACGCGUUAAGUUAUCC
Molecule: ribosomal RNA, 500 nt
Filed under: uncultured cyanobacterium
Lineage: Bacteria; Bacillati; Cyanobacteriota
Description: bacterial SSU rRNA
Rfam family: Bacterial small subunit ribosomal RNA
Source: RNAcentral